AUUGAACGCUGGCGGCAGGCCUAACACAUGCAAGUCGAACGGUAACAGGAAACAGCUUGCUGUUUCGCUGACGAGUGGCGGACGGGUGAGUAAUGUCUGGGAAACUGCCUGAUGGAGGGGGAUAACUACUGGAAACGGUAGCUAAUACCGCAUAACGUCGCAAGACCAAAGAGGGGGACCCUCGGGCCUCUUGCCAUCGGAUGUGCCCAGAUGGGAUUAGCUUGUUGGUGGGGUAACGGCUCACCAAGGCGACGAUCCCUAGCUGGUCUGAGAGGAUGACCAGCCACACUGGAACUGAGACACGGUCCAGACUCCUACGGGAGGCAGCAGUGGGGAAUAUUGCACAAUGGGCGCAAGCCCGAUGCAGCCAUGCCGCGUGUAUGAAGAAGGCCUUCGGGUUGUAAAGUACUUUCAGCGGGGAGGAAGGGAGUAAAGUUAAUACCUUUGCUCAUUGACGUUACCCGCAGAAGAAGCACCGGCUAACUCCGUG
RNAcentral lists this ribosomal RNA (490 nucleotides) under uncultured bacterium. Its description in RNAcentral is "partial 16S ribosomal RNA". It matches the Rfam family "Bacterial small subunit ribosomal RNA", at positions 30 to 507 of the family's 1533-position model. The record is from RNAcentral.